This 79-nucleotide transfer RNA is filed under the name Platysternon megacephalum (big-headed turtle). Its description in RNAcentral is "tRNA-Trp". The record is from RNAcentral. Lineage: Eukaryota; Metazoa; Chordata; Testudines; Platysternidae.
AGAAACUUAGGAUCAAGCCAAUUUUUAAACCGGGGGCCUUCAAAGCCCCAAAAAAGAGAUAGAACCUCUUAGUUUCUGU